Molecule: ribosomal RNA, 383 nt
Filed under: uncultured eukaryote
Lineage: Eukaryota
Description: partial 18S ribosomal RNA
Rfam family: Eukaryotic small subunit ribosomal RNA
Source: RNAcentral
CAGUAGCGUAUAUUAAAGUUGUUGCAGUUAAAAAGCUCGUAGUUGGAUUUCUGGCAGGAGCGACCGGUCACACACUCUGUGUGUGAACUUGCGUUGUCUCUGGCCAUCCUUGGGAAGAUCCUGUUUGGCAUUAAGUUGUCGGGCAGGGGAUACCCAUCGUUUACUGUGAAAAAAUUAGAGUGUUUAAAGCAGGCUUAUGCCGUUGAAUAUAUUAGCAUGGAAUAAUAAGAUAGGACUUCGGAACUAUUUUGUUGGUUUGCGUUACGAAGUAAUGAUUAAUAGGGACAGUUGGGGGUAUUCGUAUUUCGUUGUCAGAGGUGAAAUUCUUGGAUUUCCGAAAGACGAACUACUGCGAAAGCAUCUACCAAGGAUGUUUUCAUUAA